RNAcentral lists this ribosomal RNA (439 nucleotides) under uncultured bacterium. Its description in RNAcentral is "partial 16S ribosomal RNA". It matches the Rfam family "Bacterial small subunit ribosomal RNA", at positions 338 to 795 of the family's 1533-position model. The record is from RNAcentral.
CCUACGGGUGGCAGCAGUGGGGGAUAUUGCACAAUGGGGGAAACUCUGAUGCAGCGACGCCGCGUGAGUGAAGACGGUCUUCGGAUUGUAAACCUCUGUCUUUGGGGCAGAAAAUGACGGUACCCAACUAGUAAGCUCCGGCAAACUACGUGCCAGCAGCCGCGGUAGUACGUAGGGCGCUGGCGUUUUCCGGAAUUACUGGGGGUAAAGGGGGCGUAGGGGGGCGAGAAAGUUGACUGUUAAAUCUACCGGCUAAACUGGGAACUGCGUUUAAAACUUUGUGUCUUGAGUGAAGUAGAGGUAGGCGGAAUUCCUAGUGUAGCGGUGAAAUGCGUAGAUAUUAGGAGGAACACCAGUGGCGAAGGCGGCCUGCUGGGCUUUAACUGACGCUGAGGCUCGAAAGCGUGGGGAGCAAACAGGAUUAGAUACCCUAGUAGUC